RNAcentral lists this long non-coding RNA (320 nucleotides) under Prunus persica (peach). Its description in RNAcentral is "long non-coding RNA (PPER_LNC004488)". The record is from RNAcentral. Lineage: Eukaryota; Viridiplantae; Streptophyta; Magnoliopsida; Rosales; Rosaceae.
UCCGAUUCACAAUCCACGAAGUCCUACACGAUCUUAGGAAUACGUAGAACAACAUAUUUUAAUUGGAAAACGAUCCAACGAUCAGAACCUAUCGAACCCGGAUAACGCACAAUAUGCGAAAAUCCGUUCGAUAGUCAAACGAUGUCCGAAUUGAGAUCCGCAAAAUCCUACUCACUCGUGACAACCAGGAGAUCGCAUUGGGAUCAUAAUGCCCCUCUGCUAUAGUGCCCACGCGCCACCACAAGCGCCGGCAGUGCGCGGGUGUCCAAAGCGAUAAAGCUUCGUCGGAAAAUCUCCAAAUUACAAGCCACCCUCCCGGC